This 511-nucleotide ribosomal RNA is filed under the name uncultured bacterium. RNAcentral's name for it is "bacterial SSU rRNA". It matches the Rfam family "Bacterial small subunit ribosomal RNA", at positions 8 to 518 of the family's 1533-position model. The record is from RNAcentral.
AGAGUUUGAUUAUGGCUCAGGAUGAACGCUGGCGGCGUGCUUAACACAUGCAAGUCGAACGGAGUUUUUAAACGGAAGUUUUCGGAUGGAAGUUUAGAAACUUAGUGGCGGACGGGUGAGUAACGCGUGGGUAACCUGCCUCAUACAGGGGGAUAACAGUUAGAAAUGACUGCUAACACCGCAUAAUAUAGCGAAACCGCAUGAUUUUGCUAUCAAAUAUUUAUAGGUAUGAGAUGGGCCCGCGUCUGAUUAGCUAGUUGGUGGGGUAAAAGCCUACCAAGGCGACGAUCAGUAGCCGGCUUGAGAGAGUGACCGGCCACAUUGGGACUGAGACACGGCCCAAACUCCUACGGGAGGCAGCAGUGGGGAAUAUUGGACAAUGGGGGAAACCCUGAUCCAGCGAACCGCCGCGUGAGUGAAGAAGUAUUUCGGUAUGUAAAGCUCUAUCAGCAGGGAAGAUAAUGACAGUACCUGACUAAGAAGCCCCGGCUAACUACGUGCCAGCAGCCGC